GUCCCUCUAGGGACAUUUGAUAAAACUAAAAUGAUACAGAGAAAAUAAACAGAACCUUUGCACAAAAAUGAUACGUACAAAUUGUAUAAUGGUCCUAAUAAUG
This 103-nucleotide small nuclear RNA is filed under the name Ipomoea nil (Japanese morning glory). The record is from RNAcentral. Lineage: Eukaryota; Viridiplantae; Streptophyta; Magnoliopsida; Solanales; Convolvulaceae.